CAUUUAUAUUCAUUUGUGAAUGUGUGCAAGCAGUGUUACACAUUCAUAUGUUUAUUCUCCAGCACAAUAGCAUUAGCAGGAGUUUGAACCACAGCCCUGAAACAGGGUUGUGCCAUACCUACAAAAAGGGCAGGGCCCUUCAUCUUCUCCACUAAAACUAACAACUACCCACAAACUGUCCUGUCAAUGCAUGCUGUGCACUAGGUGAAUUACUAUCUGUAAAACAGUAAAACAUGUAUUUCUGCAAGUAAACCACAGAUCAGGAGAAGGGCGCAGGCUGAAGGGACCAGAACAAGACACAGAUGAUGAUUUAGUAGGUGAGGAGCCUGAAGUUUUAGAGGGGGAAAGACCUCGUCCUCAGGGUUCCUCUCCUGUUGAGGAAUUCCCCACCACAGAGAAAUACGCGAAACAGGUGAGCGCUACAUUAGACUCUUAUCUUA
Molecule: long non-coding RNA, 440 nt
Filed under: Sinocyclocheilus grahami
Lineage: Eukaryota; Metazoa; Chordata; Actinopteri; Cypriniformes; Cyprinidae
Description: lncRNA (ENSSGRG00000040458.1)
Source: RNAcentral